UACCAGCACCCCGAGUGGUCGGGACGAUUAUUGGGCCUAAAGCAUCCGUAGCCGGCCUUACAAGUCCUCCGUUAAAUCCAGCUGCUUAACAGAUGGGCUGCGGAGGAUACUAUAAGACUAGGAGGCAGGAGAGGCAAGCGGUACUCAGUGGGUAGGGGUAAAAUCCGUUGAUCCAUUGAAGACCACCAGUAGCGAAGGCGGCUUGCCAGAAUGCGCUCGACGGUGAGGGAUGAAAGCUGGGGAGCAAACCGG
This 252-nucleotide ribosomal RNA is filed under the name uncultured bacterium. Its description in RNAcentral is "partial 16S ribosomal RNA". It matches the Rfam family "Archaeal small subunit ribosomal RNA", at positions 474 to 727 of the family's 1478-position model. The record is from RNAcentral.